CUCUCCAUUUCUAUUCUCCAAUCUCUGUAACAAUGGUGAUUGAGUGAAGAAUGAGAGAUUUCAAGUGAGUUUUAUCUGCAACAGAUCCUUGUGAGAUCAAAUAAUGUGUCUUUAUGGUUGAUUUAACUUUAAUGGUGUUUUAGUGAAGACUUUCGAGCUUAAACUAGUAACCGGUUGUUGAAAACCCUAGUUUCUGUACAAGAGAAUGUCACGAUGCUUGCAAACAUAGUGAGGAAAUAUGUGAGAAGUUUUAGGGUUGAAGAAUCUGAUACAAAUAAGAAAACCAGAGUUGUUCGAUGAUGAGAAUGGUGAUGUUGCAGAACUUGUAGAUGAAUGUAGAACUACAAACUGGAACCACUUACUCCAACUGUAUUGUUCAAGUAAUUGGACCAGAUCUAUACGAGUUGGAAACUUAAGAGGCAGUGUACAUGCAUCAUGAGUUAAAAGAUCAGAUAUAGCUACCACGUGUCAAAAAUGAGUCAGAGCUACCACGUGUCAAAGAUGGUCCACGUCAUCAGAUGCCACACUGAUGGUCCACGUCAUUAGUGUUUACCGCAUCUCCAACAAGCAGCUGAUAGCGAAAUCAAGAAGAAGCCAGAUGUGUCAUACAACCAGGCAGUCUCAUAUCACCAACAAGUUAGAGAAUUUCUUAAUUAUGUUGACUAACAUGUUUCUAUGUAGGUUAUGUAAGCUAAGCGUGGGAAAACCAAAAAAUACCUCUAAACAAAAAGCGGAUAUCGCCCGAUCACAGAGAUAAGACCUAUUAUGAUAUUCCAAAUAUAUAAGUUCGGUUGCUUUUUAAUAAAUUCCAACUUUCAAAAAAAAAUAAAAAUAAUAAGCUCAGCCGCUGGCGGGACAGGUUAUCAAGUCGGCAACACAAUGAACAGUCGUCUAGAAAAUACACAAAACAAAUAGGGCUGUCAAUGGGUACCCAUUACCCGGUUCCGGAACCGGAUCCGAUGGAUUCGGGUCCGGUUCCGGGUCCUUAAAUUGGAUCCAUUAACCACUUUGGACCCGGCGGGUAAUUACCCAUA
Papaver somniferum (opium poppy) is the source of this 1034-nucleotide long non-coding RNA. RefSeq lists it as uncharacterized. The record is from RefSeq and is a predicted model, not a curated record. The transcript is spliced from 4 exons. NCBI's taxonomy places the organism in Eukaryota, Viridiplantae, Streptophyta, Magnoliopsida, Ranunculales, Papaveraceae.